Molecule: non-coding RNA, 45 nt
Filed under: Schistosoma mansoni
Lineage: Eukaryota; Metazoa; Platyhelminthes; Trematoda; Strigeidida; Schistosomatidae
Source: RNAcentral
ACCUUGCUGACGAGUGCUAAGUAGCACGAAACCCGGGUUCAAGGU